RNAcentral lists this ribosomal RNA (280 nucleotides) under Clostridioides difficile. RNAcentral's name for it is "partial 23S ribosomal RNA". It matches the Rfam family "Bacterial large subunit ribosomal RNA", at positions 1868 to 2147 of the family's 2925-position model. Lineage: Bacteria; Bacillati; Bacillota; Clostridia; Peptostreptococcales; Peptostreptococcaceae. The record is from RNAcentral.
GCUGGAAGGUUAAGGGGAUCUGUUAGAGCAAUCGAAGCAGUGAACUUAAGCCCCAGUAAACGGCGGCCGUAACUAUAACGGUCCUAAGGGAGCGAAAUUCCUUGUCGGGUAAGUUCCGACCCGCACGAAAGGCGUAACGAUUUGGGCACUGUCUCAACAACAGACUCGGUGAAAUUGUAAUUCCGGUGAAGAUGCCGGAUACCUGCGACAGGACGGAAAGACCCCAUGGAGCUUUACUGUAGCUUGACAUUGGGUCUUGGUACUACAUGUACAGGAUAGG